RNAcentral lists this long non-coding RNA (748 nucleotides) under Brassica napus (rape). RNAcentral's name for it is "long non-coding RNA (BNAP_LNC010703)". Lineage: Eukaryota; Viridiplantae; Streptophyta; Magnoliopsida; Brassicales; Brassicaceae. The record is from RNAcentral.
UCUUCCUCUUUUUUCUCUUCUUCCGCAACUUUCUCCCUGUUUUUUUCCUCUGUUUCCACAACCUCUUCCUUUUUUUUCUCUUCUUCCACAACUUUCUCACCUUUUCCAAUUUCUUCCUCCAUAGGCUUUGUCACUAGUCUCCUCGCAGCCAUUUCCUUAGUCCUACCACGUGGUGGUGUGGGAGUUCCCUCCGUCUGAUUCCCACGUGGUGGUGUUGGAGUUUCAUCGGUUCUGUUCGUCUCAACCCGAAGCUCAUUGUGAUCAUCUUUGGGAGUUCCCUCUGUCUGAUUCCCACGUGGUGGUGUCAGAGUUCCUUUUUCUAUCUCUGCCUCCCGAGCCUAAGAUUCCACCUUAUCAGUCUCACUUUUCUCCUUUUCUUACUCCCUGGUUUCAGACUCAUUCCCUUCAACUUCUUCUUCUUGAUCAUCUUUCCCUUCAACCUCUGCUUGAUUAUCAGUGUCACUCUCACUCUCACUCUCACUGUCUUCCUUGUCUUGCUCAUCAGCCUCGAUAUUUUCCUUCUCUUUCUCACCCUCUUACUGAGCAUUGUCAUCAGCCUCUUUCUCUUCACCUUCUUCUUCAUCACUGUUUUCAUUUUCUCUCAGCCUCUUGCUCAGUAUUCUCGAUGUUAUCCUUAUCUUUCUCAGCCUCUUGCUCAGCAUUAGCUUUGUCAUUCUCUUCAUAUGUACCGUAGUCCCACUAUCGAAAAUCUAUGUCUUCAUCAUGACUCGGCUCCUUCUUACUCUCA